This 663-nucleotide ribosomal RNA is filed under the name gamma proteobacterium HPC1317. RNAcentral describes it as "bacterial SSU rRNA". It matches the Rfam family "Bacterial small subunit ribosomal RNA", at positions 31 to 682 of the family's 1533-position model. The record is from RNAcentral. Lineage: Bacteria; Pseudomonadati; Pseudomonadota; Gammaproteobacteria.
AAACGCUGGGAGGGUGGCCUAAACCUGCAAGUGGGAACCAGGGGAACCCAUAGCUUGCUCUCGUGGUGACGAGUGGCGGACGGGUGAGUAAUGUCUGGGAAACUGCCUGAUGGAGGGGGAUAACUACUGGAAACGGUAGCUAAUACCGCAUAACGUCGCAAGACCAAAGAGGGGGACCUUCGGGCCUCUUGCCAUCAGAUGUGCCCAGAUGGGAUUAGCUAGUAGGUGGGGUAAUGGCUCACCUAGGCGACGAUCCCUAGCUGGUCUGAGAGGAUGACCAGCCACACUGGAACUGAGACACGGUCCAGACUCCUACGGGAGGCAGCAGUGGGGAAUAUUGCACAAUGGGCGCAAGCCUGAUGCAGCCAUGCCGCGUGUAUGAAGAAGGCCUUCGGGUUGUAAAGUACUUUCAGCGGGGAGGAAGGUGUUGUGGUUAAUAACCGCAGCAAUUGACGUUACCCGCAGAAGAAGCACCGGCUAACUCCGUGCCAGCAGCCGCGGUAAUACGGAGGGUGCAAGCGUUAAUCGGAAUUACUGGGCGUAAAGCGCACGCAGGCGGUCUGUCAAGUCGGAUGUGAAAUCCCCGGGCUCAACCUGGGAACUGCAUUCGAAACUGGAAGGCUAGAGUCUUGUAGAGGGGGGUAGAAUUCCAGGUGUAGCGGG